UCCGUAGGGUGAACCUGCGGAGGGAUCAUUACCGAGUUUACAACUCCCAAACCCCUGUGAACAUACCAAUUGUUGCCUCGGCGGAUCAGCCCGCUCCCGGUAAAACGGGACGGCCCGCCAGAGGACCCCUAAACUCUGUUUCUAUAUGUAACUUCUGAGUAAAACCAUAAAUAAAUCAAAACUUUCAACAACGGAUCUCUUGGUUCUGGCAUCGAUGAAGAACGCAGCAAAAUGCGAUAAGUAAUGUGAAUUGCAGAAUUCAGUGAAUCAUCGAAUCUUUGAACGCACAUUGCGCCCGCCAGUAUUCUGGCGGGCAUGCCUGUUCGAGCGUCAUUUCAACCCUCAAGCCCCCGGGUUUGGUGUUGGGGAUCGGCGAGCCCUUGCGGCAAGCCGGCCCCGAAAUCUAGUGGCGGUCUCGCUGCAGCUUCCAUUGCGUAGUAGUAAAACCCUCGCAACUGGUACGCGGCGCGGCCAAGCCGUUAAACCCCCAACUUCUGAAUGUUGACCUCGGAUCAGGUAGGAAUACCCGCUGAACUUAAGCAUAUCAAUAAGCGGAGGA
This 559-nucleotide ribosomal RNA is filed under the name Fusarium sp. Fs020TNPB1-TR. Its description in RNAcentral is "eukaryotic LSU rRNA". The stretch from base 180 to 333 matches the Rfam family "5.8S ribosomal RNA". The record is from RNAcentral. Lineage: Eukaryota; Fungi; Ascomycota; Sordariomycetes; Hypocreales; Nectriaceae.